RNAcentral lists this ribosomal RNA (382 nucleotides) under uncultured marine Chaetocerotaceae. Its description in RNAcentral is "SSU rRNA". It matches the Rfam family "Eukaryotic small subunit ribosomal RNA", at positions 587 to 972 of the family's 1831-position model. Lineage: Eukaryota; Bacillariophyta; Thalassiosirophyceae; Chaetocerotales; Chaetocerotaceae. The record is from RNAcentral.
AGCUUCAGUAGCGUAUAUUAAAGUUGUUGCAGUUAAAAAGCUCGUAGUCGCAUUUCUGGCGAGAGGAUCCGGUCCGACCUUUUGGUGGGUUCUUGGGUCUCUUUCGCCAUCCUUGAGUGGUCCGUUCUGGCAUUAGGUUGUCGGAGCGUCAGCCGCUCAUCGUUUACUGUGAGAAAAUUAGAGUGUUCAAAGCAGGCUUAUGCCGUUGAAUAUAUUAGCAUGGAAUAAUAAGAUAGGACCUCGGUACUAUUUUGUUGGUUUGCGCACCAAGGUAAUGAUGAACAGGGACAGUUGGGGGUAUUUGUAUUUCGUUGUCAGAGGUGAAAUUCUUAGAUUUUCUAAAGACAAACUACUGCGAAAGCAUUUACCAAGGAUGUUUUCA